GAUGAAGAACGCAGCGAAAUGCGAUAAGUAAUGUGAAUUGCAGAAUUCAGUGAAUCAUCGAAUCUUUGAACGCACCUUGCACCCUUUGGUAUUCCGAAGGGUAUGCUCGUUUGAGUGUCAUUGUACUCUCACACUUCUAAUUCCUUUCGGGAUUGGGAGCGGUGGACUUAGGUGUUGCUGCUUUAGUUGUGGCUCACCUCAAAUAAGUUAGUGCAACUCUUGGUUGGACAUAGUACGGCGUGAUAAGUGUCUUCGCCGGCGCCUCUGUAAGGAGGGUGGCCGAUCGGGAGCUCUGUGCUUCAAACCGUCUUCGGACAAUCUUUGACAACUUGACCUCAAAUCGAGUAGGACUACCCGCUGAACUUAAGCAUAUCAAUAAGCGGAGGA
Molecule: unclassified non-coding RNA, 387 nt
Filed under: soil metagenome
Description: partial contains 5.8S ribosomal RNA, internal transcribed spacer 2, and large subunit ribosomal RNA
Rfam family: 5.8S ribosomal RNA (bases 1-120)
Source: RNAcentral